Molecule: long non-coding RNA, 202 nt
Organism: Suricata suricatta (meerkat)
Lineage: Eukaryota; Metazoa; Chordata; Mammalia; Carnivora; Herpestidae
Exons: 3
Source: RefSeq, a predicted model, not a curated record
CAGCAGUAAUGGCAUAACCAGGGAGUUUGUUAGAAAGGUAAGAGAAGCCAACAAAUAAAGAAGGGAUCUAAUCUAGAUGAGAGAAACCAGCGAAGAGAAAGGGAAGAGGAACCAGGAUAAUGCAGAAUCACCAAAGCAAGCUGGAUUGUGCAGAUGACUACAAGCCCCGGGAGUUGACAGAGCCACAAGAAAGAAGGUGCCU